RNAcentral lists this unclassified non-coding RNA (432 nucleotides) under soil metagenome. RNAcentral's name for it is "partial contains 5.8S ribosomal RNA, internal transcribed spacer 2, and large subunit ribosomal RNA". The stretch from base 1 to 120 matches the Rfam family "5.8S ribosomal RNA", at positions 35 to 154 of the family's 154-position model. The record is from RNAcentral.
GAUGAAGAACGUAGCGAAAUGCGAUACGUAAUGUGAAUUGCAGAAUUCAGUGAAUCAUCGAAUCUUUGAACGCAUAUUGCGCUCUCUGGUAUUCCGGAGAGCAUGCUUGUUUGAGUAUCAGUAAACACCUCAACUUCCAUAUCUUUUUUGAAAUGGGAGUUGGACUUGAGUGAUCCCAACGCUUUUCCUCACCGAAAAGUGGCGGGUUACUUGAAAUGCAGGUGCAGCUGGACUUUUCUCUGAGCUAUAAGCAUAUCUAUUUAGUCUGCCUAAAAACAGAUUAUUACCUUUGCUGCAACUAACAUAAAGGAGAUUAGUUCUUGUGCUGACUGAUGCAGGAUUCACAAAGACAGGCUUCGGCCGACUUUGUAAACUCGAUCUCAAAUCAAGUAAGACUACCCGCUGAACUUAAGCAUAUCAAUAAGCGGAGGA